RNAcentral lists this ribosomal RNA (253 nucleotides) under uncultured bacterium. RNAcentral describes it as "partial 16S ribosomal RNA". It matches the Rfam family "Bacterial small subunit ribosomal RNA", at positions 524 to 776 of the family's 1533-position model. The record is from RNAcentral.
UACAGAGGGCUCGAGCGUUAGGCGGAAUCACUGGGCUUAAAGCGUGUGUAGGCGGUCUUGUAAGUGCCUUGUGAAAUCCCACGGCUCACCCGUGGAACUGCUGGGCAUACUGGGAGUCUUGAGCCACCUAGGGGCGAGCGGAACAAAUGGUGGAGCGGUGAAAUGCGUAGAUAUCAUGUGGAACGCCAACGGAGAAAGCAGCUCGCUGGGGGUGUGCUGACGCUGAGACACGAAAGCCAGGGGAGCGAACGGG